RNAcentral lists this ribosomal RNA (429 nucleotides) under Bacillota bacterium. RNAcentral's name for it is "Firmicutes bacterium partial 16S ribosomal RNA". It matches the Rfam family "Bacterial small subunit ribosomal RNA", at positions 355 to 776 of the family's 1533-position model. Lineage: Bacteria; Bacillati; Bacillota. The record is from RNAcentral.
UGGGGAAUUUUGGACAAUGGGCGAAAGCCUGAUCCAGCAAUGCCGCGUGUGUGAAGAAGGCCUUCGGGUUGUAAAGCACUUUUGUCCGGAAAGAAAUGGCUCUGGUUAAUACCUGGGGUCGAUGACGGUACCGGAAGAAUAAGGACCGGCUAACUACGUGCCAGCAGCCGCGGUAAUACGUAGGGUCCAAGCGUUAAUCGGAAUUACUGGGCGUAAAGCGUGCGCAGGCGGUUGUGCAAGACCGAUGUGAAAUCCCCGAGCUUAACUUGGGAAUUGCAUUGGUGACUGCACGGCUAGAGUGUGUCAGAGGGGGGUAGAAUUCCACGUGUAGCAGUGAAAUGCGUAGAGAUGUGGAGGAAUACCGAUGGCGAAGGCAGCCCCCUGGGAUAACGCUGACGCGCAUGCACGAAAGCGUGGGGAGCAAACAGG